CCUACGGGUGGCUGCAGUGGGGAAUAUUGGACAAUGGGGGCAACCCUGAUCCAGCCAUGCCGCGUGUGUGAAGAAGGCCCUCGGGUUGUAAAGCACUUUCAGUGAGGAAGAACGCCUGGUGGUUAAUACCCAUCAGGAAAGACAUCACUCACAGAAGAAGCACCGGCUAACUCCGUGCCAGCAGCCGCGGUAAUACGGAGGGUGCGAGCGUUAAUCGGAAUUACUGGGCGUAAAGCGCGCGUAGGUGGCUUGAUAAGCCGGUUGUGAAAGCCCCGGGCUCAACCUGGGAACGGCAUCCGGAACUGUCAAGCUAGAGUGCAGGAGAGGAAGGUAGAAUUCCCGGUGUAGCGGUGAAAUGCGUAGAGAUCGGGAGGAAUUCCAGUGGCGAAGGCGGCCUUCUGGACUGACACUGACACUGAGGUGCGAAAGCGUGGGUAGCAAACAGGAUUAGAUACCCUUGUAGUC
RNAcentral lists this ribosomal RNA (465 nucleotides) under Vreelandella stevensii. RNAcentral's name for it is "partial 16S ribosomal RNA". It matches the Rfam family "Bacterial small subunit ribosomal RNA", at positions 338 to 795 of the family's 1533-position model. The record is from RNAcentral. Lineage: Bacteria; Pseudomonadati; Pseudomonadota; Gammaproteobacteria; Oceanospirillales; Halomonadaceae.